GGAAGCCGAGCUGUUGAGUCAGUGCUGCAGAGCUGCCUGCGAGAGCAGAGAGAGGCACAGCUGCAAAGGACAGAUCUGCUGAGCCACGGGAAAAUGGUUUGAGUAAUAAUCAACGCCUGCGGCUAUGUGGCCAGGAGGAUGAGGAGCCUGUGCAGCCGGGAGCCCCGGGAGCCACCACCCUGCCCGGCACAGGCAGCGCCACAGAGCCAGCACCGGGAUGUAAAACCAGAGCUACCAGCACCCCCUGAAGCACCAGCCUCACUCCCCAGCAACACCAAACCCAUCCAGUGCAGGUCCUGACAAUAAAUCCCUCAUGGUCCUCCCAUGAAGGCCACCAGAUUCCUUCCCACUGAUUUUUGCUGGAAAUCCUGUAUCCCAGAGAUUGGAAAAUAUCAGCAAAUCCCUGCUGGAUCUGCUCUCAGCACAGAAGCACAUUGAUAGAAAAUGUCCUGAUCAGUGUCUCAUGACCAGAAUUUUUUGGUUGGCAGGGAAAAAA
Melozone crissalis (California towhee) is the source of this 496-nucleotide long non-coding RNA. RefSeq lists it as uncharacterized. The record is from RefSeq and is a predicted model, not a curated record. The transcript is spliced from 3 exons. NCBI's taxonomy places the organism in Eukaryota, Metazoa, Chordata, Aves, Passeriformes, Passerellidae.